Molecule: long non-coding RNA, 880 nt
Organism: Gymnodraco acuticeps
Lineage: Eukaryota; Metazoa; Chordata; Actinopteri; Perciformes; Bathydraconidae
Exons: 4
Source: RefSeq, a predicted model, not a curated record
UUGAUUUGGCUGGGUCAUAAUUAUGGGUUAUUUGGGUACUGUAAACACACUGGUGGGUUGUUCAUGCUGGGUCAAAGGGGUUAUUAGGGCUUCAAUUGCAGUUGAACACCCGCCUGGGUUAUUUUUAACCCAGAGGUUGCUUUAUUCAUUUUCCCACUUCUGAAUCAUUCUGGAAUCAUCUUUUUCAAAACACAAGGUAUGUAACCUAUAUUUUACCUAUAUUUAUAUAAUUAUACAAUUCUGUAACCUAUAUUUUUUUAAUGAGUUGUGAUAACAGUUCAAUAGGGAUCUGUAGGCAUUUAACAGACUGUGCAAAGUAUAACAUUAGCAGUUAACGUCGGCUACAAAUGUUUUACAUUUCUGUCAAUGAGUGAAAGAGCCUUGAAUUUACGUUGUGAUGCGAUGAAUUAUUAUUUUACAAAGACGUGUGUUCUACUAGUAGUUAUAAAUGGGUCUGAACUAUAGCUUUGGAUUUGUGUGCAAAAGUAUUAGAUGUACAAUAAGGCAGUAUAAAUCAGAUGGCUUUUACGUCACAACUCUCUUUCCCAGCAUGCAGCUCGGGCGCGGGCUUUCACACAUACGGACAGACAGACGACAAAGAAGCUCAUUGAUGUAGUAGAGGGUUUCACCAUGGACACGUUUGUCAGAGACGUUGACUGCAUGGCAGCUUGAGAACUUGAUUGACACAUUUAAAGGGAGCUUGGUACACACCUGGCCGAAAUCACAAACCUGCUACAGGUUUCCUGGAGGAGCGCUUGAGGAACGUCAGGAAGCGCAUGAGAAUGCUGAAACGACCACGCCACCAAGAACAACAGAAGGAACAGACCGUCCCUAGUACACCAGAUAUCACAAGACUUCCAGCAGCUUCAUCCAGAGGCAG